UGUAAUUAUUAUUAUGGAACUAUAAAAUGUCCUCCAUGUUCCCAGAAUAAAGACUAAAUCUUCAGGUGAUCCAGCUUCUUUCUACUGUGACCUGCCUUGGUCUCACAAUGGUGUGAAGAACUGAAACUGGACAUUCAGCAAACAUUUCUCUGAGGCAGAAACAAUGUCAUUGGUUACAUUAAACUUUGGUAGGCAGAGAAUCUGUAAAAAGGAUUUUCUCUGGCCCCUCCCACUGACAUUGAACUCAACCAAUGAGAUUGUUUCUGUCUCCAGAGCAGAAAUGUUUGAGGAACUAAAAGCACAAUCAGCUUGAUGUUGAGGAGAAGGGCUGUGCAGCAGAGAGGCUCUUUAGUUUUUUCAUUCUACUGCAGUGGAAGAACAUUGCUCAUCUGCUGUCAGUUUGACUUUAACAACUCCAAAGACAUGUUGCUUUACCUCUUUUUACUUUUCUCUCACUUUAUAGCCCUGGGUUCCAUGAACAUCAUAAAGCCAGACAAUACUGAAGAACAUGUUGCAGAGGGAAGAAACAUCAACCUGACCUGUAAAUAUGACGGUGCCAUCUUCAGCAUUCAAUGGUACCGACAAUACCAGAGAUCCAGACCAGAGUUCCUGCUCUACAUCACAGAGGAAGGAUUGAUUCAUCCAACUGAUUCUGAUUUCAAAGCUCACAUUAACAAAACCGAGAAACGUGUACAUCUGGAGAUCAUCUCAGCUAAAGUGACAGACUCUGCUGUGUACUACUGUGCUCUGAGGCCCACAGUGACAGGAAACACCAAAACUCUGUACAAAAACCUUUGGAGCAAAGACAACAGAAUACUCCACAACAUCCACUAGAGGGAGUCACACACUGUUAAGCAGUAAAGAUACAGCACAAAAUAAGGGAAAUGUUAUACAUAAAGUCACUUUAACAUGUGUGUAACAUUUCACAUUUCAUCUCUCCAUUGAUGUUACACAUACUAAUGUAAUAUUUGACGCUGAGCUUCCUUUUUCAUUGACGGACUAAAGUUGUACUGUGAUGAUGAUUUUAUUUUUAAAAAUUCUUACAUUUACAAACCCUGAAAAAGGUGAUCCAUCCUUUAAAUCACUAAUUUAAAUCCAGUAAAAAAAAGAAUCAUUAACAGAAAACUUCCCACCUCCAGCUUUUGGAAAAUGCUGCUACCAGUCUGUUAACCAGGAGGAAGAAAAUACAGAUCUAAGAGGAGAGGGAGAGAUUCAGGGAGGAGCUAAGCUGUUACUGAACUAUAGAAGAGAGAGGAACUUCCAUAUUCAGCAGAGUUCAAUACACAAACCAGAAACAUUACCUUUAUCCAACAUGCUGUCACUGCAUCAUUGUGUGUUUUCUCUACUGUUUCUGUACUUUAUAACAGGUGUCAGCUGUGAAGAACUCACUCCAAGAAACAAGAGUUUAGUUUCAAAGACAGCACUGUUACUCUGUCCUACAAUUAUUACAAAGGUAAUGAUGAUUAUUUUUUCUGGUAUCGACAAUAUCCAGGAAAACCAC
Dicentrarchus labrax (European seabass) is the source of this 1501-nucleotide long non-coding RNA. RefSeq lists it as uncharacterized. The record is from RefSeq and is a predicted model, not a curated record. Lineage: Eukaryota; Metazoa; Chordata; Actinopteri; Moronidae. The transcript is spliced from 3 exons.